GGAAUUCAAUGUGUGGCUGGUUUUGAUUAUCGAGCAAUUUACUGUUGUACUUAGUGCAGUUUUGCUUUUGGUUUAUCUUUUCUUUAAUUCUAGUUUCAAGAAGUGCAUUUAACUUUUGCAAUCGGAUAAUGUGCAUUUCUGUUUAGAUGUCUCAUAUUAACUUGCAUUUGUCAUUUUUUGUUCCCAAGUUCUUUUGCCUUGCUUGUCCAGAAUUUGCCUCCUUUGCUCUUGAGGUUCAUUGUAUUGCAGAAGUAGUGGAUUAUUCACAUUGGACCACAAAUUUGACUUGGGAUUAUAUAAAUCUGUUGCUGAAAAAGUGUGGAAAAGAAAAGAGGAAUUUGGAAAUAUGGACAAAGAAUAAGGAAAUAAUUGACAAGGGUGUGUGAGAAUUUGGUGAAAAUUUCUCAUUUCAAAAUGCAUUAUAAAUUUUUUAUUGUAUUCUGUUCAAUUAAGUAAGUGUUAUACUUUUAAGAUGUUAAGCAAUGGCAUCUGUUUGAUUCAUUAAGAUUGGAGGAAAAAUUAUGCUUUAGGCCUCUUGAAUGUCAUUUGCCAUUUAUAGAGUGAUUAUAUUUUUUGAAAAUUUUGGAAUAAAUUGCAUACAUCAUAAAUUUGGCAAAGAGUCAAAUAGUUUGUUGGCUUAAUAUGCUCUGCUUUAUACUUUUGUCAAAUAUCUAAUAAUUC
RNAcentral lists this unclassified non-coding RNA (681 nucleotides) under Hevea brasiliensis (rubber tree). The record is from RNAcentral. Lineage: Eukaryota; Viridiplantae; Streptophyta; Magnoliopsida; Malpighiales; Euphorbiaceae.